AACUAGAUAUUAUAUUCUAAUUCAUUCGUAUUUGACCUUAGCCUGCAGGCUGAUUUUUUUGAAAAAAAAAAAAUACACGUACUAUUACAGACUGACUCAUUCUUCUUACCUUCAUUUCAAUCCACGUUACGACUUGCUUCGACUAGUUCAAUGCAAAUCCCAAAAACCACUACCAAAAUACAAUUUUAUUUUCUUUUGUAAAAAAAGUAGUUGGCUUUACUCCUAUAAUCCUACUUGAAUUCCAACUUCAAGCUCAACAAUCUGAGUCAAGAAGCUAAAAAGGAGGAUAAAAAUGGUAACUUUCCUUUCGUUUUGAAAUUUUAUAGUGGGAAAAAGAAAGAAAAAACGAGGAAUGAAAAUUUCACUAAGGUUUUAGUUUUAGCCUUUGUUCUGUUGUUUAAGAGAGGAAGCAACAGUAUGUGCCCACCAUUUAAGACUAUGUUUAACGUCAAUUUCAUUGCUGGUGGCAGGUACUUUCCAUUUCAUCAAUGAAGUCAUUUUCUUCUUCCUUUCUAAAGCUUCCCAUGCUUCAGAAAGAUAAGGCCUG
RNAcentral lists this long non-coding RNA (547 nucleotides) under Nicotiana benthamiana. RNAcentral describes it as "long non-coding RNA (NBEN_LNC025207)". The record is from RNAcentral. Lineage: Eukaryota; Viridiplantae; Streptophyta; Magnoliopsida; Solanales; Solanaceae.